This 366-nucleotide ribosomal RNA is filed under the name Harveyus aff. mexicanus AMNH LP14583. RNAcentral describes it as "partial small subunit ribosomal RNA". Lineage: Eukaryota; Metazoa; Arthropoda; Arachnida; Schizomida; Hubbardiidae. The record is from RNAcentral.
AAAUAAUGAACUAGUUUUGAAUAAAUUUUAUAUGUUAAUCAAUUAUGAAGUUUAAAAAUGUUGGCAGUAUAAUAUUUAAUUCUGAGAAACUUGCUUUAUUAAAGUGAUAUUACACAGUUUAUCUUAUCUUAAUUAAUUUGUUUGGUUUAUGUAUUGCUGUUUAAUUUAUUAUUUAUUAUAAUAAUAAAUUUAAAGAAUAAGUUUUAUUAAAAAAUUCAAGUCAAAAUGUAAUUAUGUUAAGGUUAAAGUGAGUUGCUUUUUUUUAGAAAAUAAAGAAUGAGAAGUAAAUUGAAAUAUUUAUUGAUAAUUAGGAUUAGGUUGUAAGGAAAAAGUAAUUAGUUUUUCUGAUAAUAUUUGUAGAUAUGU